UUUAGAAAGUGUUGGUGUAUACUUUGUUUCAUUUCUUUCGUUUCUGAUUAGGGUUCUUUAAUUAAGCUGAAUUCUGUUACUUAUUGGAUUGAUCAAUUUCUGCAGUUUUGUCAAAAAAAGAAAAUAAUCAAUAUUUUUGGAAAGGUUUUGGUGGGAUUCCUAGGGCUUUAGAUACGCUUAAGAUGACCCGCUUUGUGCUUGGCUUGAAAUGUUUGAGUGGUCGAAACUUCGAACUACUGCCCCACUUUUUAACAAGUGGCGCCAAACACGAGCUACAUUUUGGUGAAAUAUUUUCUCUUGUGAGGUACGUUUCACAUGACAAUCAUUGUAUUUGUGAAGGGCUUCCGAAUUCGAAAGCUGAUAGGAAAGAGAAACCCUCAAUGCCUUCCGAGAAUCGUCGAAGCGCUUUGGGAUUAGCUAUGUUCGAGUUUCUCUUUUGCAUCCUUCAUCGCAGACAACUUGGAGUUGUGCAAGCUUGUCCAACUUUUCCCAAAAUUGGAAAUCGGUUGGCUUCUUAUUAUUAUCGUAAAUACUACUAUUACUUAUGUUGUGUGCAAAUUGUUACUUAUGGUGACAGA
Long non-coding RNA from Rhododendron vialii, 578 nucleotides. RefSeq lists it as uncharacterized. The transcript has 3 exons. Lineage: Eukaryota; Viridiplantae; Streptophyta; Magnoliopsida; Ericales; Ericaceae. The record is from RefSeq and is a predicted model, not a curated record.